Molecule: transfer RNA, 75 nt
Filed under: Acidobacteriota bacterium
Lineage: Bacteria; Pseudomonadati; Acidobacteriota
Also listed under: 2 other names
Description: Acidobacteria bacterium tRNA-Cys
Rfam family: tRNA
About the family: Transfer RNA (tRNA) molecules are approximately 80 nucleotides in length. Their secondary structure includes four short double-helical elements and three loops (D, anti-codon, and T loops).
Source: RNAcentral
GGCGACGUGGCCGAGUGGCUGAGGCAAAGGACUGCAAAUCCUUCCACAUGGGUUCGAUUCCCAUCGUCGCCUCCA